This 685-nucleotide ribosomal RNA is filed under the name uncultured equine intestinal eubacterium sp. PL20. Its description in RNAcentral is "bacterial SSU rRNA". It matches the Rfam family "Bacterial small subunit ribosomal RNA", at positions 797 to 1482 of the family's 1533-position model. The record is from RNAcentral.
ACACUGUAAACGAUGAAUGCUAGGUGUAGGAGGUAUCGACCCCUUCUGUGCCGCAGUUAACACAAUAAGCAUUCCGCCUGGGGAGUACGGCCGCAAGGUUGAAACUCAAAGGAAUUGACGGGGGCCCGCACAAGCAGCGGAGCAUGUGGUUUAAUUCGACGCAACGCGAAGAACCUUACCAGGUCUUGACAUCCAGUAAAUCCUGUAGAGAUACAGAGUGUCUUCGGACAUACUGAGACAGGUGGUGCAUGGUUGUCGUCAGCUCGUGUCGUGAGAUGUUGGGUUAAGUCCCGCAACGAGCGCAACCCUUAUGUUCAGUUACUAACUGGAAAGCAGAGGACUCUGAACAGACUGCCGGGGACAACUCGGAGGAAGGUGGGGACGACGUCAAAUCAUCAUGCCCCUUAUGACCUGGGCUACACACGUGCUACAAUGGCCACCACAAAGAGAAGCGAUCCUGCAAGGGGGAGCGGAUCUCAAAAAAGUGGUCCCAGUUCGGAUUGUAGGCUGCGACUCGCCUACAUGAAGUCGGAAUCGCUAGUAAUCGCGGAUCAGCACGCCGCGGUGAAUACGUUCCCGGGCCUUGUACACACCGCCCGUCACACCACGAGAGUUUGUAACACCCGAAGUCGGUGAGGUAACCUUUUGGAGCCAGCCGCCUAAGGUGGGAUAGAUGAUUGGGGUG